RNAcentral lists this unclassified non-coding RNA (240 nucleotides) under soil metagenome. Its description in RNAcentral is "partial contains 5.8S ribosomal RNA, internal transcribed spacer 2, and large subunit ribosomal RNA". The record is from RNAcentral.
AACCUAGCACACCUGCGGUGUGUACCUGCGGAGGGAUCAUUACCGAGUGUAGACCCCCCCUAAAAAAGGGGGCCAACCUCCCGUCCUUUUGCUUUGGGCAUCCCCACUAAAAUUAGGGGGGUUUGCUUUUUAAGAACCUUCUGCUUCGGUGGGGUUAACCCCCACCGGAAUACCCUCAAAAAUUCUUGUAUAACCGUUCUGUCCGAGGGGUUUGAUAAAUAAAAGCGAAAAACUUUCAAC